UGAGGGGUCGUGUAAGGUUUUUGGAAUGUGAAAUUCAAGAUUCUAAUAAAUAUAUAAAUAAAUACAUAAAAAAUUUAAAUCAAUUUUUUAAAAAAGUUUCAAACAUAAUUUUCAAUUUUCAAAAAGAAAAUUUGAAAAAAAUAUCAAAAAAAAAUUUAUAAGGAAGUUCAAAUUUGAAAAAGUAUAAAUCGUAAACAUGAUUUUUUUAAUUUAAAUAAUUGUUUAUUAUAUAUAUAUAUAUAUAAAAUAAGAGUAUAAUAGUCUUUUACCACUUAAUGAAAAAUGUACUCGAAAAUCUUCCUUUAGUGGUGGUAAAGAUGAAUAAUGGUAUUAUGAAAGUGGUAAACAUGAAAUUCUCCCUUGUAACUAUAUAUUAUCUUUUUUUAUUUAUUUUGAAACUCUCAACAUUAUAUUGUUUAAAAAUGUUUAUA
This 431-nucleotide long non-coding RNA is filed under the name Brassica napus (rape). RNAcentral's name for it is "long non-coding RNA (BNAP_LNC003496)". The record is from RNAcentral. Lineage: Eukaryota; Viridiplantae; Streptophyta; Magnoliopsida; Brassicales; Brassicaceae.